RNAcentral lists this ribosomal RNA (253 nucleotides) under uncultured bacterium. Its description in RNAcentral is "partial 16S ribosomal RNA". It matches the Rfam family "Bacterial small subunit ribosomal RNA", at positions 524 to 776 of the family's 1533-position model. The record is from RNAcentral.
UACGGAGGGUGCAAGCGUUAUCCGGAAUUAUUGGGCGUAAAGCGUCCGCAGGUGGCUAUUCAAGUCUGCGGUCAAAGACUGGGGCUUAACCCUGGAAAGGCCGUGGAAACUGAAGAGCUAGAGUGCAGUAGGGGUAGAGGGAAUUCCCGGUGUAGCGGUGAAAUGCGUAGAGCUCGGGAAGAACAUCGGUGGCGAAAGCGCUCUGCUGGACUGCAACUGACACUCAGGGACGAAAGCUAGGGGAGCGAAUGGG